AUUGAGGUGGCAGAUCAAGUGGAUCAGCGCACGCGCUCCACGGUGCACUGCAGUCAACGCGGCAUAGGCUUGGUAUUUAAAAGCAACGCACGAGAUUAAAACAUUUCAAACUCAUCUAAUGGCUUUGAACACUUCCAGCUCAUCGCCGGAGCCAAAGGCCGGUCAUCUUCUCCGAUGACCCUGGCCGGACUGGUUUAGUCAUCACCACAUCAUAAAUGACAAAAGAGGACAUGAUCU
RNAcentral lists this long non-coding RNA (237 nucleotides) under Lathyrus oleraceus (garden pea). RNAcentral describes it as "Pisum sativum (pea) long non-coding RNA (PSAT_LNC005375)". Lineage: Eukaryota; Viridiplantae; Streptophyta; Magnoliopsida; Fabales; Fabaceae. The record is from RNAcentral.